AUCUCACCCUCUCCCUUGGCUGGCUAGUGAAGGGGCUGCCUUCAUUUUCUUUUAUUGUCACACUCAAGCAUAAACACACCCACAUACACUACUCUCUACAUCUCUCUUUCAUUCUUUCACUGGUGCACAUCUCAUAGCCACCUCCACCAUUUUUUCGACAAGGUUUACCAGAAAACUCCAUAGGAAAAAGUUAAGGCUCACUCAUACCUUUUAUUUGAGGUUGGAAGCUCCCACUUUGCAUGACAUGGGUAAAUCCUUAAGUGUAUGAGUGAGGUUGCUGCCCAUAAGGCCAAAAAGACCACAUGCAAAAGGGGUAUUGUGUGAUGCAUCAUUCCCUACUGCAUAUAAGGGGAAGUGGUAAAUCCUUGUGUGUGUGGGUGAGGCUAGGCAAGGCCAAGAGGCCAUCUGCAAAAGAGGUACUACAUGACAUGUUAUCCCCUGCUGCCAAUGAGAGGAUAGGUAAAUCCUUGAAGGUGUGGGUGAGGCUAGACAAGGCCGUUAGACCACAUGCCAAAAGAGAUACGUAUCAUGCUAGUGUGUUUGGGUUCUGAAUAGUCUGUGGCGGUAUGAUGUCUUAGUAACAUUUCCGUCUUUGUGGCACCUUGGGUGAGGUUUUUGGUUUUGAAAUAAUAUUGGAUAUUUUGGGAAACUUGGUACUCAAUUAUUUCUAUUAUUCUUGUCAUGUUGUUAAUGAAUUGUUUUUGCAUAAAUAAAAUGGAAAUUCCCAAAUUAUAGCAUGUUUUGUAAAAUGCUCAUUAUUAUGAAACUUGCAUUUCCCCCGCCCCCAUUAAUUAUGUUA
Molecule: long non-coding RNA, 799 nt
Organism: Quercus robur (English oak)
Lineage: Eukaryota; Viridiplantae; Streptophyta; Magnoliopsida; Fagales; Fagaceae
Exons: 2
Source: RefSeq, a predicted model, not a curated record